AUUUUGUAUAAAUGUUAUAAUUUGCUCGUUUCUUUAUUGGUCCGUAGUACCGAAAUUAUAAUUUUGAAUUUCUUAUACGUUAUAAAAUAAAAUUUAUAAUUUGCGUAAAACGGGGCUAUUUUGGUAUUUUUAUUUUUUAAAUUAUUAUAGGCGAAUUAUACUGUAGGGAAUAAUUAUAUCUAAUUGUUUUAUUUGUAAUUUAUAUAAUAUUUAAAUAUUAUUCGAGGGUUUAAUUAAUUUAUUUUGUUUAUCCGUUUAAUUAUAAAUAAAAUAUUAUAAAUAAUUUGUGGUCGGUCCCUAAAUAUUCCAUUAAAGAUUUCCAGAAUCUUAAUAUAAAAGAUUUGUUUUUAUUAGUAAUAGUAUUUCUUAGCAAUCCGUAAUUACUAACAAUUAUUUGCAAAAAUAUGUAAACGAUUUUUUAACGCUGUUUUUUUUUUAUAUAAUGCAAAAUCAAUAUAUUUGGUAAAUUUAUUUAUUAUAAUUAAUAUAUUAUUAAAUUUGGUUCGUGUAAAAGGUUUUUUUAAAAAUAAUAAUUUAACGAUAAAAUCCAAUAUAAUAAUUUAUUAUAUUUUAUUA
This 576-nucleotide small RNA is filed under the name Pyricularia oryzae. Its description in RNAcentral is "Magnaporthe oryzae sRNA M_BR32_EuGene_00060831". Lineage: Eukaryota; Fungi; Ascomycota; Sordariomycetes; Magnaporthales; Pyriculariaceae. The record is from RNAcentral.